UGGGAUCUUGAAAAUAAUCACUAUGCUUAUUGAACUAAUUAAAAUCUAUUUUACUAUUGGAAGAUAGAUUAUAGGUUUUAAUUAGUAUAUUUAAUAAGACUCGAGAGAGAUUAUUAAAUAAUUUAGGAUUAUUUAUCCUUUCAUUAAUAAUUAAAUUUAGAUUAUUAAUCAGAAUAGCUGGAAUUGAUAAUUGGUCCAAGUG
RNAcentral lists this long non-coding RNA (202 nucleotides) under Elaeis guineensis (African oil palm). RNAcentral's name for it is "long non-coding RNA (EGUI_LNC069223)". Lineage: Eukaryota; Viridiplantae; Streptophyta; Magnoliopsida; Arecales; Arecaceae. The record is from RNAcentral.